Molecule: ribosomal RNA, 247 nt
Filed under: uncultured bacterium
Lineage: Bacteria
Description: partial 16S ribosomal RNA
Rfam family: Bacterial small subunit ribosomal RNA
Source: RNAcentral
UAACACGUGGGUAACCUGCCUUAUAGUGGGGGAUAGCCUUUCGAAAGGAAGAUUAAUACCGCAUAAGAUUGUAGUAUCGCAUGAUAUAGCAAUUAAAGGAGCAAUUCCGCUAUAAGAUGGACCCGCGUCGCAUUAGCUAGUUGGUGAGGUAAUGGCUCACCAAGGCGACGAUGCGUAGCCGACCUGAGAGGGUGAUCGGCCACAUUGGGACUGAGACACGGCCCAGACUCCUACGGGAGGCAGCAUG